RNA transcript from Eriocheir sinensis (Chinese mitten crab), 3993 nucleotides. It is a transcript of the gene named protein O-linked-mannose beta-1,2-N-acetylglucosaminyltransferase 1-like, with no coding region annotated. The transcript has 18 exons. The record is from RefSeq and is a predicted model, not a curated record. Lineage: Eukaryota; Metazoa; Arthropoda; Malacostraca; Decapoda; Varunidae.
GGGAGGAAAAAAAGAAGGGAGAUAAAGAGGAAGAAUGGAGAGAAAAAAAAAAAAGCCACGUCGGAGGAAAGUAAAAUUUAAGCAUCAUUCUUCCUCCAUCUCCCUCUGUCCCUCGCUCUCACUUUCCUCCUCUCCUUCCCUCCCUCCCGCUUUCCUCCCUCGGCCAUUCUCCCGCACCUCGGCGCCGCCCAAACACACCUGUCCAGCAUGUCUCUCGUGAGUUACCUGAGGCGGCGGGUGUUUGGGAAAUCUGCUUUUCUAAUCAAGCGCAUACUCCUGCCCGCCGCUGUUGUGUUUCUUCUGAUGCAAGUGUUGUUGAGCGGGGGACCUCAGCAGCGGCAGCAAGACCCAGACCCAGACCUCUCCAACCUUAUCAUACCAGGCGAGGCUCUGGACCCAGCGUUGGAGAGGAAGGUGGGGCGUGGUCCAACGACCCACCACAACGCCCUCCACACCACCUCCACCUCCACCACAACACCCCCCGUCCCCUCCCCCUCACGCGUCAAGAAGAAGAAGGAGGAGGAGGAGGAGGUAGAGAAGAAGAAGGUAGAAAGGCAGAAGAAGCAUGGGAAAGAUGAUGACAGUGACAGACAAGGCCAACAACAACAACAACAACAACAACAACAAGAGGAGCCUUCCCCGUGGUCAAUGGCAACAGCAAACAUCACCGACAGCCAUAAGGUGAAGUACAAAGGUCACGCCAUCACGGAGAAGACGGUGACCUUGACCCUCAUGUCCAGCCAAGACAAAGUGUUCAUGUCCCUCAACAAGCGGGAGAUCUACCGCAACCUAGGGGACCGCGGGAUUCACCUGGUGGUCCUCAAUCAGUACACGGGACAGGUGAUGGCCCGGCAGGUGUUUGAUACCUUCGCCGUGGGCCUGGAGGAAGAGAUGGUAGAGUUUAUCGAAGACCUGUCCGACGGAAGGAUACUGGUGUUUGCCGUGUUGGACGAGGCCAGCAGCAACCUAUCCUGGCGGGGGAGGAACCGCCUGAAGGAGCUCGGGUCGCGGUGGGCGGACAAGCUCGCCUACAGGGACAUGUGGGCGCUGGUCACACGCAAGGGGGGACUCAAGAUGGCCGAGACCUUCUCCAACGUGGCCACGGCCGACACGGGCUACGAGUGGGGCGGGCCGGUGUUCCUUCGUACUGACUUUGAUCUCUUGGAAGGGAAAGGAGAGUGUGACUGGCCGGUGAACGAACGGAACGAGGCCCGCCGUGUGUUCUGCCAGCGCUUCGAAGGAUACGGCGCCCUCUGUGACUGUGGCGUGAGCAGCUGGCAUGAUUUGUUCUUCCAUGCGGGCGACGAGGUACACAAAGAGCUAUCACGGACGCCUCUGUACAAGGACUUGGGCGUCGUGAUCCUGGCCACGGACAGACCACACUACUUGUACAGGACGUUGAAGAGCUUGUGGGAGGCGCCUGGGCUGAACAGGGAGAAGGUGGCUGUGUACGGCGACGGGCGGCAGCGGGAGGUGCUGGCCGUGGCGAGGCUGUUCGGGGUGUACCUGGUGGAGGCGCCGCCGCUCGGGAACACCACCAAGGAGCACAUCAGACACAAGGUGCAGCGUGUGUUCAGAGACGUGGCAGGUGUCAAGUUUCCCCCCGAGAGCGUACCUGCGGGGAACCUACCUGAAGACACCCUGCCCCCCUUCUCCUGCUCCCACCUGCUGCUGCUGGAGGACGACCUGCAGGUGGCCGUCGAUAUCUUCAAGUACAUAUACAGUGUGGCGCCAGUGUUAGAGAGGGACCCCAGCAUCUUCGCCGUCUCCUCCUUCAAUUACUACGGGCAUGCGGACGUUGCCAACUCCCACACCACCGUCUACCGCACCGCCGAACUCAACCCCCUGGCCCUCUUGUUCCCAGUUCGAGCCCUCCACCAACUCGCCUCCAACUGGCCUACUUCUGAUGAUACCUCCGAGUGGUACCGAUCCCUGCGCGUUGCUAUGCGGGGGGUGGAGGGAGGGGCGCUGCUCUACCCUGAGGUGCCACGCGCGCGUCACCUGGGCUACCGCGGCUCGCUGAUACGCGGCUCCGUGCAGCACAACUACUUCAGGGACCACAUCCUCUCCCUCACCACCGACUACCACCUGGCGGAGUCCGAGGUCCUCAUGCUCGCGGCGGAACCCUACGAGGCGCGGCUUGAGAAGACGUUGAAAGAGGCAGACACGAUCAACUUCGACUUCUGCAAACACGACCUUCUCUACGGCAAGAACCCGCUGAAGAUCUUCGUCUCUUACAACGGGAGCCGAAGUGACGAGACCAACAUGAACUACGUGAUGAAUUGUCUCCGAACCUUCGACGUGUACCCCGAGGCCGGGUGGCACGGGGUCUGGCAGUUUCAUUACCACGGGCACUGGCUUAGCAUUGUGGGCACACCGACGUCUAAAUACAGUUACCUGAUACCUGCUGACCACGCCCCCGUCACCGCCCCGCCCACCACCACCACCACCACUACUGACUCCUCUUCCUCCUCCUCCUCCUCCUCCUCCUCUGCCCAACCCUCCUCUUAGCUAUCCUCCACUUCUUACUUUUUCACCAGUGUUGCCGGAUUGUCGUACUCAGCUUCUCAUUUUUCAUAAUUUCAAGCUAAAAAAUGUCCCACCCCAAAAACUAACGAUAUCUAUUUAUAUUUAUUGCUAAUAGUGUUAAUUAUAGAGUGUUUUGUACAGUCAUUAUGCGUUAGAAAUGGGAAAAUCUAGUUUGGUGAGUGCGAUAUCGUGGCAUCCCUAUUUUCACUAUCAAUUACUAAACGUGGAGGUACAAUCUUGGGUAACGAUGCCUCCUCCUCCUCCUCCUCCUCCUCCUCCUUCGCCUCCUCCUCUGCUAAACCUUCCUCUUAGCUAUCUUUCACCGUCUCCCUUUUCACCAUCAACUGCUAAACGCGGAGGUAGAAUCUUGGGUAGUGAUGAUGAAAAGUGGGAAAGAAAAUAAGAAGUAAAAAAAAAGGGAAAAAAUAUGAAUAGGUAAGAUUAGAUGACAUGAACCUAUUAUAUGUUUCCAAAUAAGGUAGAACAGAGAAAUGGAUUGAGAGUAGCCUAAAACAAAGCUAGAUAGAUGGGAAAGAGAGAAAAUAAUGGUAGCUGUCAACUCUUUUUAUUUCUCGAGGUAAAGAGACGGAUCAAGCACUUAAAUAGAAUGAAAUAAAACCAUAAGAACCUAUACGUAAGAAACAAGCUACAGGAUAAAAAAUAAUUGAAAGGAUAAAAGAAAACGGAGCCACAACCUAACAAUUUUAACGUCCUGAUGCUUCAAACGUCGAUUAGUCUUUAAUAACAAUAGUGUGGCUGAAUAGUCUUUUGAGGACCCGUUUUUUGAAGGCUAGAUAGUUGGUGUUGUUGAGUUUUUAGUAUGAUUUCUUACGACUGAGUUUGUGUUACGUAAGAGGUGGUGGAAGAGCGGCUUAUCUUUAACGCCUCAUGCCUCAAACGCCGUAUAAGUCUUCAAUAACAAUAGUGAGGCUGAUUAGUCUUUUGAGGACCCGCUUUUGAAGGCGUAGUUAGUUGGUUUUGUUGAGUUCUUAUAUAACUUCUUACGAUUGAGUUUGUAUUACGUCAACUUACUUUGUGGUAACCCAACACUUCUAACUAAUCUCAUCCCUAAAGUGGAAUUAAAAAAGCCAAACUAGCCUCAUAACUUAAACAAAUACUACUAAUACGACGCUUACAAAAUCUGACAUUACUUUACUGGGAGUUCAUAACGGUGUGGUGUGUUUGCUCUGUUCACGUUAACUCGGCACUUAGCCCACGCCCACAUCAGCCCAGUUUUCACUAAGAGGAGCUAACCUUUCCCAGCGUCCACCAAUCACAUGCAGCGUGAGUUAGAGAGGGGGCGUGGCCUUGUGUGUGGACGGGCCAGUGAUAUGCAUUUUAUAGGGAUUGGGGAGGAGCUUUUUUUCAGGGUAAAGUGAAGAGUUGCCUUUGACUGGGGUAUGGUGAAAGGGGUAGGAGCUUUUCUGUCAAGGUUAAGUGAAUAGUUACCUUUGAUUGGGGUAG